AGACCCGAAACCCGGUGAUCUAGCCAUGGGCAGGUUGAAGGUUGGGUAACACUAACUGGAGGACCGAACCGACUAAUGUUGAAAAAUUAGCGGAUGACCUGUGGCUGGGGGUGAAAGGCCAAUCAAACCGGGAGAUAGCUGGUUCUCCCCGAAAGCUAUUUAGGUAGCGCCUCGUGAAUUCAUCUCCGGGGGUAGAGCACUGUUUCGGCUAGGGGGCCAUCCCGGCUUACCAACCCGAUGCAAACUGCGAAUACCGGAGAAUGUUAUCACGGGAGACACACGGCGGGUGCUAACGUCCGUCGUGAAGAGGGAAACAACCCAGACCGCCAGCUAAGGUCCCAAAGUCAUGGUUAAGUGGGAAACGAUGUGGGAAGGCCCAGACAGCCAGGAUGUUGGCUUAGAAGCAGCCAUCAUUUAAAGAAAGCGUAAUAGCUCACUGGUCGAGUCGGCCUGCGCGGAAGAUGUAACGGGGCUAAACCAUGCACCGAAGCUGCGGCAGCGAACGUAUCACCCAAGACAACUUUACGGAGUUGACGAUUGACGGAGCGAAGCGACGUCAAAGCGUUCAUUAAAGUCGAGUUGGCUUAGGGAUACGUUCGUUGGGUAGGGGAGCGUUCUGUAAGCCUGUGAAGGUGUGUCGUGAGGCAUGCUGGAGGUAUCAGAAGUGCGAAUGCUGACAUAAGUAACGAUAAAGCGGGUGAAAAGCCCGCUCGCCGGAAGACCAAGGGUUCCUGUCCAACGUUAAUCGGGGCAGGGUGAGUCGACCCCUAAGGCGAGGCCGAAAGGCGUAGUCGAUGGGAAACGGGUUAAUAUUCCCGUACUUGGUGUUACUGCGAAGGGGGGACGGAGAAGGCUAUGUUGGCCGGGCGACGGUUGUCCCGGUUUAAGCGUGUAGGUGUGUGU
This 903-nucleotide ribosomal RNA is filed under the name Salmonella enterica. Its description in RNAcentral is "partial 23S ribosomal RNA". It matches the Rfam family "Bacterial large subunit ribosomal RNA", at positions 711 to 1531 of the family's 2925-position model. Lineage: Bacteria; Pseudomonadati; Pseudomonadota; Gammaproteobacteria; Enterobacterales; Enterobacteriaceae. RNAcentral also lists the same sequence under 1 other name. The record is from RNAcentral.